GCUCGCGUUAGCAGUACAAUUUCACCUGCUCCUUUUUAUUUUGAGAUUAGUGUGAUGACAAAACGCCACUAACUUGCAAACAACCGAGUGUGCCACGCCCCCCCUAUCUUCUUCCUGGCCGUGGAUUGUGUGCAAACAUUGAUAUUUGGUGUCGGUUUAAAGAACUCAAAAUUAUUUGUUUAUUAUGUAAAUAAAUUGUAUAUAUGGUUAAAA
RNAcentral lists this long non-coding RNA (213 nucleotides) under Penaeus japonicus. Its description in RNAcentral is "uncharacterized LOC122258084". Lineage: Eukaryota; Metazoa; Arthropoda; Malacostraca; Decapoda; Penaeidae. The record is from RNAcentral.